This 253-nucleotide ribosomal RNA is filed under the name uncultured bacterium. Its description in RNAcentral is "partial 16S ribosomal RNA". It matches the Rfam family "Bacterial small subunit ribosomal RNA", at positions 524 to 776 of the family's 1533-position model. The record is from RNAcentral.
UACGGAGGAUCCAAGCGUUAUCCGGAAUCAUUGGGUUUAAAGGGUCCGUAGGCGGUUUAAUAAGUCAGUGGUGAAAGCCCAUCGCUCAACGGUGGAACGGCCAUUGAUACUGUUAAACUUGAAUUAUUAGGAAGUAACUAGAAUAUGUAGUGUAGCGGUGAAAUGCUUAGAGAUUACAUGGAAUACCAAUUGCGAAGGCAGGUUACUACUAAUGGAUUGACGCUGAUGGACGAAAGCGUGGGGAGCAAACAGG